This 561-nucleotide long non-coding RNA is filed under the name Anas zonorhyncha (Eastern spot-billed duck). Its description in RNAcentral is "lncRNA (ENSAZOG00000005364.1)". Lineage: Eukaryota; Metazoa; Chordata; Aves; Anseriformes; Anatidae. The record is from RNAcentral.
GGCAGCGCUGUUGCACCACUUUAUAUUUUAUUGUGUAUAAAAACCCCACAGGCCCCGCCGCUGCAGCUCCCCGCCGAAAACUACAUUUCCCAGCGUGCCCCGCGCCGCGCCCCUCUCCCCCCUCCCAUCGGCGGCCCGCGCGCAUGCGCACUGGGGAGGCGGUGGCGACGUGGAAGGCCGGGAGCGGCGGCGGUGCGUGCGCGCAUGCGCGAGGGGGGGCGCGACCGUUAGGGGCCGUGAGGGGACCCUGAGGGGACCCUGAGGGGGCGGCGGGGGCCGCGCUCGUUCCCUUCGCGUGCUCGGUUUCGCCCCCCGGCGCCGCUGUUUUUGCUGCUUUUUUUUUUUUUUUGUCUCCGGGUGCGUUCUGUGCUGGCUUCCUGAGCCCCGAAUCUCCCCAGGUGUGUUGAGGUGCGGGGCGGAGCGGGCUGCCGGGCACCCAAAUCCGCCUCCUGCCGUCGCCGGCGCUGAGGUGAUUCUGGCUACUUUGGCUGAAAGGAAAACAAUGUCCAUUUGGAUUAGUUGAGAAAGCAGCAAAUGGUAAAGAAAUGAAGAUUUAGAAGG